Molecule: ribosomal RNA, 535 nt
Filed under: Geronticus eremita (northern bald ibis)
Lineage: Eukaryota; Metazoa; Chordata; Aves; Pelecaniformes; Threskiornithidae
Description: partial 16S ribosomal RNA
Rfam family: Bacterial large subunit ribosomal RNA
Source: RNAcentral
GCAGUCCAAGUAUUGAGGGUGAUGCCUGCCCAGUGACACUGUUUAACGGCCGCGGUAUCCUAACCGUGCGAAGGUAGCGCAAUCAAUUGUCCCAUAAAUCGAGACUUGUAUGAAUGGCUAAACGAGGUCCUAACUGUCUCUUACAGACGAUCAGUGAAAUUGAUCUCCCUGUGCAAAAGCAGGAAUGUACACAUAAGACGAGAAGACCCUGUGGAACUUAAAAAUCAACGGCCACUGCACACAAUAUUAAACCUACUAGGCUUACCAUAAUUAAAACAUUGGCUCGUAUUUUUUGGUUGGGGCGACCUUGGAGAAAAACAGACCCUCCAAAAAUAAGACCACCCGUCUUAACCAAGAGCAACACCUCGACGUACUAACAGUAACCAGACCCAAUAUAAUUGAUCAAUGAACCAAGCUACCCCAGGGAUAACAGCGCAAUCUCCUUCAAGAGCCCAUAUCGACAAGGAGGUUUACGACCUCGAUGUUGGAUCAGGACACCCUAAUGGUGCAGCCGCUAUUAAGGGUUCGUUUGUUC